This is a non-coding RNA of Glycine soja, 161 nucleotides long. Lineage: Eukaryota; Viridiplantae; Streptophyta; Magnoliopsida; Fabales; Fabaceae. The record is from Rfam.
AUACUUACCUGGAUGGGGUCAAUGGACGAUCGUGAAUGUCCAUGGCCUAGGUUGGUGACCUCCAUUGCACUUUGGAGGGGUGCCCACCUAAGGUCUCCCCAAGUGGGAGAGCCUACAUCAUAAUUUGUGGUAGUGGGGGCUUGCGUUCGCGCAGCCCCUUU